Molecule: long non-coding RNA, 1113 nt
Organism: Nasonia vitripennis (jewel wasp)
Lineage: Eukaryota; Metazoa; Arthropoda; Insecta; Hymenoptera; Pteromalidae
Exons: 2
Source: RefSeq, a predicted model, not a curated record
GUCGGUCUAAAAUGGGUCACUUUAGUUCCGCUUAACGGGUCAGAAGAACGCGGAAAUCGUGCAUGUGUUACAAAAUAGUAUAUUUCGAUACAAGUGCGAAAAAGUUGAUUCCACGCGUGUGUGAGGUUUGUCGCCCGAGCGAAGCGAGGGUGACAAUCACACGAAUGUAGAAUCAAUCUCCGCACGCGUGUCCAACAUUAUUUUUCGAUACAAGGGGCAGAAAAUGCGCUAGAACACACGCGGAGCAUGCGUAAAAGUGCAUUUUACACACACUUUAUCGAAAAAUAUGGUGUGCACCAAGGUCUAAGUGGGCUUUUUGGCCUUGUGUGGUUGCAGUACUUGUCUGCGGCUCGUAAACGUCUUCGGCUCAGGCUAACUCGCCUCGAGUCGUACACUCCACACUCGGCCUAAAAAAGCCCCCUUGGUACACAAUAUACUAUUCUGAAAUAUUAAGUCUGACUAGAAACUAACAUACCUAUAUAAACCAUAUUUCUAUCUCAUAAAAAAUGGAUAGUUACUGGCAAUUUUUAGUAAUUUUAAGUUAUAUAUUUACAUCGGCGUUUUCUACGAGGGACGCGCCCUUUAUUAACCGACUAGUCAGAUGACAAAUAGAACUCCUUCAAAAUAAGCAAUCGUAACUUUCAAGUAGGGUGAACUAUUUUCUAAAGUAAAGUGUUAAAAUAAAUAUACGUUGUUUCUAAGUGAUGUCUAUAAUAAAAAUUAACGCAACGAAGGUUUCUUUGUACGCGUCCUGCAUUAUAAAAUUAUUGUAAGUAUUUCUAGCAGUUCUAGCACAAGCUCUUACUCUAACGUAAGCGUUAUAUGUUCAUAACAAUGUGACUUAAUUCGUUUUGCCUGUAAACCACAGAUGUGUGUGUUUGUGCGUGUGUGUGUGUAUUAUUUCUUACCUGUUAAAGGAGGUUUAUGAGAAUGAACAGCGCUUGGAACACUUAUGACAAUUUUUUGAUCAGGUAUUUUAAAAAUUAAUUUUGUAUCGGUCGUUCCAAAAAUAAGUAGUUCAUAGGGUUGUUUUCCAUGUACUUCGUUAAAAUUACAAAUCAUUUCUCCAUUUUGCGUGAUCUAAAUAGAAAAAAUAAAUAUAUAUGACAUCAA